RNAcentral lists this long non-coding RNA (307 nucleotides) under Homo sapiens (human). Its description in RNAcentral is "HSALNT0368285". Lineage: Eukaryota; Metazoa; Chordata; Mammalia; Primates; Hominidae. The record is from RNAcentral.
CUGAGUUGGCACUGAAACCCCGGCGGCUGCUGCUGUGGCUCCUGAUGGUGGUGGAUGUGCUGGCCAUGGUUCCAGGAGAUGAGAGGGCUUAGGAGAGUGUGAGAGGCUGGAGGAGAGAGGGAAGAGAAGCAGGACUAGGAAUCAGGCUCGGGGCAGCAGCUUAUAUAUGGAGAGCAUGGGCUGGGCCCAGUCCUGGAAGGUGAGCUUGCAGGUUGGGAAGGGCUGGGCUUUACCAACAGUGAGAUCACACCCAGUUUCUAGAAAGGUAUGAAAUAUGAAGAUUGCUUUUUGGCUUCCUUUAGUCAUA